GAUGGGCCUGCGUCUGAUUAGCUAGUUGGUGAGGUAAUGGCCCACCAAGGCAACGAUCGGUAGCCGGACUGAGAGGUUGAACGGCCACAUUGGGACUGAGACACGGCCCAGACUCCUACGGGAGGCAGCAGUGGGGAAUAUUGCACAAUGGGGGAAACCCUGAUGCAGCGACGCCGCGUGGAGGAAGAAGGUCUUCGGAUUGUAAACUCCUGUUGUUGGGGAAGAUAAUGACGGUACCCAACAAGGAAGUGACGGCUAACUACGUGCCAGCAGCCGCGGUAAAACGUAGGUCACAAGCGUUGUCCGGAAUUACUGGGUGUAAAGGGAGCGCAGGCGGGAAGACAAGUUGGAAGUGAAAUCUAUGGGCUCAACCCAUAAACUGCUUUCAAAACUGUUUUUCUUGAGUAGUGCAGAGGUAGGCGGAAUUCCCGGUGUAGCGGUGGAAUGCGUAGAUAUCGGGAGGAACACCAGUGGCGAAGGCGGCCUACUGGGCACCAACUGACGCUGAGGCUCGAAAGUGUGGGUAGCAAACAGGAUUAGAUACCCUGGUAGUCCACACCGUAAACGAUGAUUACUAGGUGUUGGAGGAUUGACCCCUUCAGUGCCGCAGUUAACACAAUAAGUAAUCCACCUGGGGAGUACGACCGCAAGGUUGAAACUCAAAGGAAUUGACGGGGGCCCGCACAAGCAGUGGAGUAUGUGGUUUAAUUCGACGCAACGCGAAGAACCUUACCAAGUCUUGACAUCCCUUGACAGACAUAGAAAUAUGUUUUCUCUUCGGAGCAAGGAGACAGGUGGUGCAUGGUUGUCGUCAGCUCGUGUCGUGAGAUGUUGGGUUAAGUCCCGCAACGAGCGCAACCCUUAUGGUCAGUUACUACGCAAGAGGACUCUGGCCAGACUGCCGUUGACAAAACGGAGGAAGGUGGGGAUGACGUCAAAUCAUCAUGCCCUUUAUGACUUGGGCUACACACGUACUACAAUGGCGUUAAACAAAGAGAAGCAAGACCGCGAGGUGGAGCAAAACUCAGAAACAACGUCCCAGUUCGGACUGCAGGCUGCAACUCGCCUGCACGAAGUCGGAAUUGCUAGUAAUCGUGGAUCAGCAUGCCACGGUGAAUACGUUCCCGGGCCUUGCACACACCGCCCGUCA
RNAcentral lists this ribosomal RNA (1150 nucleotides) under uncultured bacterium. Its description in RNAcentral is "bacterial SSU rRNA". It matches the Rfam family "Bacterial small subunit ribosomal RNA", at positions 224 to 1399 of the family's 1533-position model. The record is from RNAcentral.